UGAAUUAAUGUGAACUGCAUACUGCUUUGAACAUCGACAUCUUGAACGCACAUUGCGGCCAUGGGUCAAACUGUGGCCACGCCUGUCCGAGGGUCGG
Molecule: ribosomal RNA, 97 nt
Filed under: Prototransversotrema steeri
Lineage: Eukaryota; Metazoa; Platyhelminthes; Trematoda; Azygiida; Transversotrematidae
Description: partial 5.8S ribosomal RNA
Rfam family: 5.8S ribosomal RNA
About the family: 5.8S ribosomal RNA (5.8S rRNA) is a component of the large subunit of the eukaryotic ribosome. It is transcribed by RNA polymerase I as part of the 45S precursor that also contains 18S and 28S rRNA.
Source: RNAcentral